RNAcentral lists this long non-coding RNA (1818 nucleotides) under Homo sapiens (human). RNAcentral describes it as "non-protein coding ARHGAP22-IT1:1". The record is from RNAcentral. Lineage: Eukaryota; Metazoa; Chordata; Mammalia; Primates; Hominidae.
AGUCCUCUUCUGGGGACUUACGGGCCACUUUGUUAUGAUGAGUCCUGGGCCCUAUGGAGCCAUUGUUGAGGAUUUCCAGCAGCACCCAGUCUGCAUCAACAACUUCUGGAAGCAGAGAGUCCCUGAACCUUGGAGCAAGGAGAGGUAUUUGAGAUUAGGUUGUUUCUGCUUCCUCCGUUUACCAAUAGGGAGAGUCGGAUGGAGAGAGGCCUGCAUCACCCUCUGGGGCACAUGGCUUGUGUGGAGGGAGCAGCAGCUCCUUGGGAGUUGAGGGUGCAGAAUCAGGGGCAGCGUGGAUGGCCUUGGGGUCAGGCCACCCUGGGCUCAAAUCCUGACUGUUGCUGUGCCACUGAGCAUGUGCCUGAGCUCUCUGGGCCGCAGUCUCAUGCUGGCUGGAUGAGUGGCAUCUCAGGGCUGCCGUGUGCCACGAAGGCACCGAGAGCAGGACUUGUGCAGGAUGUGCGUCCACCAGUACCACACACCAUCUUCCUGAUGAGGGCCAGGGCAACCAAGGUCCUUUGUAGACACCAGCACCUUCUAACUUGGUGAGGUCCUGGCUGCCGUGCCGUGCAUGGAGUCACCUGCCUGCAAACAGCCACUCUCUAUCCUGCUCCAGUCCAGUUUGAAAAACAAGCAAGGUCUAUUCCAGUGAAGAGCCACCAGGGAAGAGUCAAGGAGGGCAUCUGCUGUUCAAACCCUGACCCCCUCUUGCUAAUGAUGGCAUCACGCUUACUUUUAGAUGUAACAUACAGCCUCGGAGGGGUUGGAGGAGAGGUCCAUGGAGAUCACCUGGCUCAGCCUUCUCGUUUUCCAGAUGAUUUUUUUUAGUCCAAAGAGACUAAAUGACUUGACUAAGGCCACACAGCAUGUCAGCGGGCCAGCUAGGACUCCACCCACAGCCCCUGAGUCUGGGGAUCCCUGUGCUCUUGGCUCUGAGCAAGGCUGCCUCACUUCAUUUUAGUUUAGUCUGUGUGACUUGAGCACAAGUUCUGCACACAAAACUGUGCAAGGCCACUAAUAGCACUCACAGAGCAGUGCUAUCCCUUCCUUCCUUUGAAAUGGUGGAGGUGGAGACAGUACAUACAAGAGUUACUCAAGACAAGGAUGAGGGUGCAGGGAGGAAGCCGAGCCCUUCCAUGCCACCUCUGAGACAGCUGGAGGGCAUAGCCGCUCCAUGGCUGCAGCCCGGUUUAGAAUGUGCCAGGGGUGGGGUCAGGCACCGCUUUCUUAAAUGAUCUUUCCUCUGUUGUCUCAAGACAUUUUCCAAGUACCAGACAGGACAAAAUGGCUUAGAUGUAAGCCUCUCUACUUUGCCGCAGGCCCCAGUGCUCUCUGUUGUCCCACCUAGGCUCCUGCUGCCUGCCCUGAUGUCUGCAGAUUCACUUGGUCAAGAGGAGUUCCUUCUAUGCCUGCUGUGUUUUUCAGCCAUAGCACAGAACUGUUUUAUGGGGGGAGCAUGCUCAUGCGCUAAAUCAGUGGUCUCUCACUCAGGGAGGAAGAGAGGCCAACAUUUGCUGAGGGCUUACUGUGCCCUGGGUUCUCAGCUGUCCCCACGAGGGGGUGCAAUGCCCUUGGUUUUAAAGAGAUGAAAAUAUCAAGGCUCCAAGAGGUAAAAAACUUGCCCCAGGCCACCUAGAUGUGGCUGGUGAAGCUAUGUUUGAACCCACCGCUGACUAACUCCAAAAUUCAUAUUCUUUUCUCUUCUCUCGGCUGUCUUCCAAGUAUCCAGAAUGGACUGUCUGGAAAGCGUUCUGUUAGUACUUCUUGACUGUGGGACUACAGGUCUUUGAGUUUCUCCUAAUAAAGUGAUUUCUGAUG